UGAACCAACAUUUGUUAUCAGAGCCUAGGGCUCGAGAAGAUCGGAGGAAGCCUCCGCCGCCGGCGGGUGUGUCGGUUGGUGGAGGGCAGGAGUGAAAGAAGGUGGUGAAGGAUCGAGGCAGAAGCUGGCUGUUUUUGGAUCAUUUAACAGCAGAAGACGGACGCGUUAAGGUGUUUCGGUCGGCCGUUGUUGUGGUAGACGUACCGGUAAAGACGACGGGGGUGACCGGUGAUAAACACUUGUGUUCCUUGGCUGUUAGUGGUGAUGAAAGAAGGAAGAACGAGGCUGUUCGGUUGUUAGUUGCGGGUUUGCGCAACUAUUAUACAACGGUAACAACAGCAGAAUGUUUUGAAGGUGCCUUGAUCAGCUUGGUUCGUGAUAAGAGGAGACCGACGUAGGUGCGUGAAAAACGGGCAGAAAAAUCCGUCAAAGCUGGUGGGCUUUGGAUUCGCUUCGUUUGGCAAGGUGAGAAAACGUUAGAAGCGGGUGGCUUUGUUUUCUUGGUCGGUGGAGAAGCCUCUUGAACAAGAGUGAUCGGAAAAAGGUAAAGAAAGAAAAAACACGGUGUAACAUUAUGGUGUUGGAGUUCAAACUAGGUGACUCGGAUGUGACGGGGUGGGUCGUUGAUCCGUUAUGAUUAAGAUGUGAAUGGACGGUUCCAGCGUUAUGCCAUGUUACAUGUUACGGGCGUGGUGUUUUUUAUUCGGGUUGAACCGAGACAUUGGAUGUGAUCAAGGUGAAGAUCGGGUGUCCAAUAGAUGUCAUAGUGGUUCAAAACCAAGGUGAUUCGGUGCUGCAGUGACGGGUGUAAACAAACCGAUUAAGGGGUGAAUGUUAGGUUAAUCGGGUUCGUUUACGGGACACGGGUCACGGGUCACGGUCCAACAUACGGUCAUGGGCGACGGAUAUGUAUCCCUCUACUUGGUCUUCGUUGACCAGAAAAGUAGGAGCUGCAUAUUAAUUGUAGUAAAGAAAUUGGUUUAGAGCUGCACAUAAGUUAAUAAAGAAAAUGUAGUGUAUUGACCGAGUGGUGUGUUGACCGAAUUGUCACACCCCAACCGAUGGCGGAAUCAUCGGGGCGCGGCACUAGGCGAAUCAGAUUGCUCAAGAGAAUCCAUAACGACUAUAUUGCGAUAAUAUUCAUUACAUUUGUUAUCCCAAACUAACAAACAAUACAAUCACAUAAGUUAUC
This 1192-nucleotide long non-coding RNA is filed under the name Helianthus annuus (common sunflower). Its description in RNAcentral is "hypothetical non coding rna". The record is from RNAcentral. Lineage: Eukaryota; Viridiplantae; Streptophyta; Magnoliopsida; Asterales; Asteraceae.